RNAcentral lists this ribosomal RNA (801 nucleotides) under Onygenales sp. 798_2_CP02. Its description in RNAcentral is "eukaryotic LSU rRNA". It matches the Rfam family "Eukaryotic large subunit ribosomal RNA", at positions 103 to 925 of the family's 3401-position model. Lineage: Eukaryota; Fungi; Ascomycota; Eurotiomycetes; Onygenales. The record is from RNAcentral.
AACAGCUCAAAUUUGAAAUCUGGCCUCACGGUCCGAGUUGUAAUUUGUAGAGGAUGCUUCGAGCAUGGUCUGGCCUAAGUUCCUUGGAACAGGACGUCAUAGAGGGUGAGAAUCCCGUAUGCGGCCAGGUGCCUACGCUCAUGUGAAGCUCCUUCGACGAGUCGAGUUGUUUGGGAAUGCAGCUCAAAAUGGGUGGUAAAUUUCAUCUAAAGCUAAAUAUUGGCCAGAGACCGAUAGCGCACAAGUAGAGUGAUCGAAAGAUGAAAAGCACUUUGGAAAGAGAGUUAAACAGUACGUGAAAUUGUUGAAAGGGAAGCGCUUGCAACCAGACUUGCGCGCGGCCGAUCAUCCGGUGUUCUCACCGGUGCACUCGGCCGUGCUCAGGCCAGCAUCGGUUUUGGCGGCUGGAUAAAGGCCCUAGGAAUGUAGCUCCUCUCGGGGAGUGUUAUAGCCUAGGGUGCAAUGCAGCCUGCUGGGACCGAGGACCGCGCUUCGGCUAGGAUGCUGGCGUAAUGGUUGUAAGCGGCCCGUCUUGAAACACGGACCAAGGAGUCUAACAUCUAUGCGAGUGUUUGGGUGUCAAACCCAUACGCGUAAUGAAAGUGAACGGAGGUGAGAACCCUUAAGGGUGCAUCAUCGACCGGUCCUGAAGUUUACGGAAGGAUCUGAGUAAGAGCAUAGCUGUUGGGACCCGAAAGAUGGUGAACUAUGCCUGAAUAGGGUGAAGCCAGAGGAAACUCUGGUGGAGGCUCGCAGCGGUUCUGACGUGCAAAUCGAUCGUCAAAUUUGGGUAUAGGGGCG